AUUGAACGCUGGCGGCAUGCCUUACACAUGCAAGUCGGACGGUAACAGGUCUUCGGAUGCUGACGAGUGGCGAACGGGUGAGUAGUACAUCGGAACGUGCCCGAUCGUGGGGGAUAACGGAGCGAAAGCUUUGCUAAUACCGCAUACGAUCUACGGAUGAAAGCAGGGGACCGCAAGGCCUUGCGCGGACGGAGCGGCCGAUGGCAGAUUAGGUAGUUGGUGGGAUAAAAGCUUACCAAGCCGACGAUCUGUAGCUGGUCUGAGAGGACGACCAGCCACACUGGGACUGGGACACGGCCCAGACUCCUACGGGAGGCAGCAGUGGGGAAUUUUGGACAAUGGGCGCAAGCCUGAUCCAGCCAUGCCGCGUGCAGGAUGAAGGCCUUCGGGUUGUAAACUGCUUUUGUACGGAACGAAAAGACUCUUUCUAAUAAAGAGGGUCCAUGACGGUACCGUAAGAAUAAGCACCGGCUAACUACGUGCCAGCCGCCGCGGUAA
RNAcentral lists this ribosomal RNA (498 nucleotides) under uncultured bacterium. Its description in RNAcentral is "partial 16S ribosomal RNA". It matches the Rfam family "Bacterial small subunit ribosomal RNA", at positions 30 to 523 of the family's 1533-position model. The record is from RNAcentral.